UACUGAUGGUGCAAGCGUUAAUCGGAAUUACUGGGCGUAAAGCGCACGCAGGCGGCUUUUUAAGUCGGAUGUGAAAGCCCCGGGCUCAACCUGGGAAUUGCAUUCGAUACUGGGAAGCUAGAGUAUGUGAGAGGGGGGUAGAAUUCCAAGUGUAGCGGUGAAAUGCGUAGAGAUUUGGAGGAAUACCAGUGGCGAAGGCGGCCCCCUGGCACACUACUGACGCUCAGGUGCGAAAGCGGGGGGCGCACACAGGAGUCGAUCACCCUGUAGUCC
RNAcentral lists this ribosomal RNA (273 nucleotides) under uncultured bacterium. Its description in RNAcentral is "partial 16S ribosomal RNA". It matches the Rfam family "Bacterial small subunit ribosomal RNA", at positions 524 to 796 of the family's 1533-position model. The record is from RNAcentral.